CUCCCAUCUUCACCAUGGUAACAUUCUAUCUUCUAGGAUCUAAUGUUCUAAUAUCUCAUCUAAUAAAAAAACAAUCAUGGUUCUGUGAUUUAAAUAGGAAGUAAGCUCCUUAAGAGUAGAGAUUUUUGGGCUCUCUUUUUGUACCUACCAUACUUAGCACAGAACCUAGCACAUAGGAAACAAUUACUGGUUGUUUACUGAUUGGUAUAAAUAGACAUAUAAAUUGAUUCUAGGCAUAAUCACAUCUGGAUUCUCUUCUGGUUUCAGACUUUAAUCAGAUCUUCUCUGGAGAGAAAUCACUGACCUUUCAUCAUGACAGUAUCUACAGUGCAACCUUGCUGAUCUCAAGGUGGACUAGAAGUGAACACAAAUGGGAUUUCCUAUAUAAGAUAUCAUCACUAUUAAUGAGGCAUAAAUUCAAGAGUGCUACUAUCUUCAAAUCUCUACAUUUUAAAAUGCUUUUUAAAUUCCUCUGAUUAGGAAAAAGAGAGGGACUUGAGUAAUUACUCAUGGUCUUAAUGUAUUCUUUUUCAUCUUAUUAUCCCAAGGCUUUAGGGAGCUCUUUAGGUAGUUCCAUGAGUAGGAGUUUCCAGAUAUCAAGGUAAAGUGAUAGAAUAACAUCAGGGAAAUAGGAAUCUAAGAAUAUUAAAAUCCUUGAACUCAUAAUUAUUUUCUCCACCACGGAUAGAGUACAUGGAGAGAGGGAAAUGAUUUGAAAUUUUGUGGAGGCUAGUAAAGUUUGGGAGAAUAUUUAUGCCUUAUCCCCAAGCCUGUCUAAAGGUAAUGGCUAGGCAAUAGAAUUUAAAUGAUUUGCCCAGGAUUACCUGAUUAGGAAGUAUCUAUGGCCACACUUGAAUCCAGGACUUCCCUUAUCCAGGCCUGGUACACAAUCCACUGAGCCAUCUAGAUAUCUCCUAAAAUAUACUUCUCCCCCUCUCUCCAGGAAGGCAGGUAAUAUUAUAUAGGUU
Molecule: long non-coding RNA, 968 nt
Filed under: Monodelphis domestica (gray short-tailed opossum)
Lineage: Eukaryota; Metazoa; Chordata; Mammalia; Didelphimorphia; Didelphidae
Description: lncRNA (ENSMODG00000030725.2)
Source: RNAcentral